GUGGGGAAUUUUGGACAAUGGGGGCAACCCUGAUCCAGCCAUGCCGCGUGCGGGAAGAAGGCCUUCGGGUUGUAAACCGCUUUUGUCAGGGAAGAAAUCUUCUGAGCUAAUACCUCGGGAGGAUGACGGUACCUGAAGAAUAAGCACCGGCUAACUACGUGCCAGCAGCCGCGGUAAUACGUAGGGUGCAAGCGUUAAUCGGAAUUACUGGGCGUAAAGCGUGCGCAGGCGGUUAUGCAAGACAGAUGUGAAAUCCCCGGGCUUAACCUGGGAACUGCAUUUGUGACUGCAUAGCUGGAGUACGGCAGAGGGGGAUGGAAUUCCGCGUGUAGCAGUGAAAUGCGUAGAUAUGCGGAGGAACACCGAUGGCGAAGGCAGUCCCCUGGGCCUGUACUGACGCUCAUGCACGAAAGCGUGGGGAGCAAACAGGAUUAGAAACCCGGGUAGUCC
RNAcentral lists this ribosomal RNA (450 nucleotides) under uncultured bacterium. RNAcentral describes it as "bacterial SSU rRNA". It matches the Rfam family "Bacterial small subunit ribosomal RNA", at positions 354 to 796 of the family's 1533-position model. The record is from RNAcentral.